Humulus lupulus (European hop) is the source of this 431-nucleotide long non-coding RNA. RefSeq lists it as uncharacterized. The record is from RefSeq and is a predicted model, not a curated record. The transcript has 3 exons. NCBI's taxonomy places the organism in Eukaryota, Viridiplantae, Streptophyta, Magnoliopsida, Rosales, Cannabaceae.
GAUUGAACAUGUCUAUUCUCGUCACAUGCUCAGAGACAUAUCUUGCCAUGAAAGGAAUCUGGACUUGAGGCUGGAUCUGUGCACCAAAAGAACUGUAACUACUUUUACUGAUGAUGACUUGGAAAGCCUCAAAUUUUUGAUAAAUUCUGCUAGAUGUUAGGCACCCAAUAAAAGAGAGUUUGAACAAGUUCCCUCGAAGGACUAGUACACCAUCUGGGGUUCACAGUCAAGCACAACAAGCUGAAGAACAGCUACAACAUCAGCAACAAUAGCAUCAUCCAAACUCUAGUUUGAAGUAAAAAAUGUUCAAGAUUAUAAAAUUUUAUUAUGUUAAGCUUUCAAAUUUAAGUUAGAACUAAGAUCUCAUGAAGUAGAUACAUUCAUGGUUUGAAUUAGUUAUUGUUUAAUGUAAUACUUAUGGUUUAUCAAUC